CGCGCCGCCGGUUCCCCGAUGGCGGAGGACUCAGGCGCCAUCCUCCGCCACAUCUCCUCCCUCAAGGACAUGCUUGACAAGGUCAAUGAAGAGAUUGAACAGAAUAUACAAAGGACCAGGGAAACAGAGUCAGAAAUAGUGAAGCAUUCUGAAACUGAAAAGGACUAUCUCGUGAAGGAGUCUGAGCUAAUGAAAGGAGUAUCGGUUGCUGAGUUUGAACUUGAUGGGCUUAUGCAAGUGGAAGCUGCUGGAACAGAUUCACUUAAAGCGAUGGAGGGCAAUUUGGAAUUCCGGAAAGCUACUCUGAAUGCAAUUAGGAAACUAUUCUACGAUAAAAUGGAAAGGUUCAUCGCGGAAUCUAGAGACUUCCAAGUUAACAUGCUUGGAGGUUCAAAUGAGGAUUUGCUUCUCCUACUAAAGGAAAGAGAUUCACUAGAGAAUGAGAGUGAGAACUUGAGGAUGAAGAUCAACGCCAUACAAAGUUCAUUAAAGGAAUACAUUGCUGAGAUUCUUGAGGAGGUAAAUGUGGAAAAUUCAGUUCUGGAGUCUGAUGUACAGUAUAGGAUUUCGGAAUACAUGGAAAUUCUCAAGGAUAUAAACAACCUGAAGAUUCUAUUUAGUUCGAGCAAUUCUUAA
This 636-nucleotide ribosomal RNA is filed under the name Triticum aestivum (bread wheat). Its description in RNAcentral is "partial small subunit ribosomal RNA". Lineage: Eukaryota; Viridiplantae; Streptophyta; Magnoliopsida; Poales; Poaceae. The record is from RNAcentral.